GGGGGUGAUUGGUCUCGACAGCGGCUGUCGAGUGAGGAGAAGCGGGUCGAGGAACGCGGCAAUGAUCUCGUUAACCAUGGGUCGCAAAAAAAUCAAGUGCCAAUUCUCAGCGCACUGACUUCGCCCUCGCCGCCUGAGCGAGUGUGAAAGUCCGUCAGACCGGGGUUCCUCCGACCCGGACCCUGGCGUCGAUCAGGAGGAUCACCGUCGAUCCCGGCCACGGGGUUCGUCGGGACACUCACAGUGGCUGGGCCUGUCACACCGACUUGUUCGCAUGAUCGGCGGGGCCGAGUAGAGGCGAAGCGAACUGCACCCGGAGAAGGCUUCACCAAGCACCGUUGGACGCGGGUUCGAUUCCCGCCACCUCCACUA
Molecule: transfer-messenger RNA, 372 nt
Filed under: Nakamurellaceae
Lineage: Bacteria; Bacillati; Actinomycetota; Actinomycetes; Nakamurellales
Also listed under: 2 other names
Description: Nakamurella sp001897425 Standard tmRNA
Rfam family: transfer-messenger RNA
About the family: Bacterial tmRNA, also known as 10Sa RNA or SsrA, is named for its dual tRNA and mRNA-like properties. Its role is to liberate the mRNA from a stalled ribosome.
Source: RNAcentral